UGCUCACUAUAAUAGCCAUACAAUAAAACUGGAACAACACAGAGAAUAUGAGUAGGGAUCCUACACAUGGAUUACAUUCAAAUUUGUGAAAUAUUUAGUAUUUUU
Cavia porcellus (domestic guinea pig) is the source of this 105-nucleotide small nuclear RNA. Lineage: Eukaryota; Metazoa; Chordata; Mammalia; Rodentia; Caviidae. The record is from Ensembl.